RNAcentral lists this ribosomal RNA (459 nucleotides) under uncultured bacterium. Its description in RNAcentral is "partial 16S ribosomal RNA". It matches the Rfam family "Bacterial small subunit ribosomal RNA", at positions 338 to 795 of the family's 1533-position model. The record is from RNAcentral.
CCUACGGGAGGCAGCAGUGAGGAAUAUUGGUCAAUGGUCGGGAGACUGAACCAGCCAAGCCGCGUGAGGGAUGAAGGUACAGAGUAUCGUAAACCUCUUUUGUCAGGGAACAAAGGCGGGGACGCGUCCCCGGAUGAGUGUACCUGAAGAAAAAGCAUCGGCUAACUCCGUGCCAGCAGCCGCGGUAAUACGGAGGAUGCGAGCGUUAUCCGGAUUUAUUGGGUUUAAAGGGUGCGCAGGCGGUUUGUUAAGUCAGCGGUAAAAGCCCGGGGCCCAACCCCGGCCCGCCGUUGAAACUGGCAGUCUCGAGUUGGAGAGAAGUAUGCGGAAUGCGCGGUGUAGCGGUGAAAUGCAUAGAUAUCGCGCAGAACUCCGAUUGCGAAGGCAGCAUGCCGGCUCCACACUGACGCUGAGGCACGAAAGCGUGGGUAUCGAACAGGAUUAGAUACCCUUGUAGUC